RNAcentral lists this RNase P RNA (220 nucleotides) under Streptococcus vestibularis. Its description in RNAcentral is "partial RNase P RNA component class B". It matches the Rfam family "Bacterial RNase P class B", at positions 147 to 365 of the family's 365-position model. From Rfam's summary of the family: Ribonuclease P (RNase P) is a ubiquitous endoribonuclease, found in archaea, bacteria and eukarya as well as chloroplasts and mitochondria. Its best characterised activity is the generation of mature 5'-ends of tRNAs by cleaving the 5'-leader elements of precursor-tRNAs. Lineage: Bacteria; Bacillati; Bacillota; Bacilli; Lactobacillales; Streptococcaceae. The record is from RNAcentral.
GGAUAGGUUUUAGUAGCUCUGAAAGUGCCACAGUGACGGAGUUUUUAGGGAAACCUAAAAAGUGGAACGCGGUAAACCCCUCAAGCUAGCAACCCAAACUUUGGUAGGGGCAUGGGAUGGCUGGAAACGAACGGACCAUUCUGACUGCUAUGCAGUAGACAGAUGAUUAUCGAAGGAAGUGGUACCUAGUCACUUCUGGAACAAAACAUGGCUUAUAGAA